ACAAGGGAAAAAAAAGGAAUAUAAGAAAGCAACUGUGAAUCUGAGGCUUCAUUUUGAGUUUUCCCCCAAAACAAAAAGGGGAAAACUAAAAGCCUGAUAGGUUACCUUUUUCUAACAAGGAACAACUGUCUCUACUUCGGGUUGCAUGCUUUCUCAAGUUUGAGUUUAGACAGACCACUCUUUUGUGAAUCUUUGCAUAAAGGGUCAUUGAAUAAUGGUCAGAGGCAUUGUCUUUGAAUGUUUUACAGAUAUGCUGAGGUUUGUACUUAGAACUUCUCAUUUUACAUUCAGCCUUUCAGUGAAAGGCGAACGUGAAGCUGACAUUUUAUAAUGGCAAAACUUAGGGGGCCAGAGCUAUAAGACAUGUUCAGAAGACAGGGAUAUGUGUCUUUUUUUCUCUUGUAUUGCUCAUGGUACCUAGCACAAAGUUGGAGAUGUGAUAGACUCUUUAAUACAGGUAUUCUUAUAUGGUUUACCAUGGCAAAAUCAACUUUCAAUUUUGUUUGGUUUUCAGAGUACUUUUCAUGAUAAAAAGGUUCAUUUGUUUUACUCUCAGAGCAUGCUCUGAGCUGAGAAUUAUAAACUAAAGGAGAAAAUAAUGAUGAGCAAAUAAUUGCCCAGGCUCCUAUGGAGAGUUCUCAGUAGAGCUGGAUUUGGUAACUUGAUGAGUUGUCACUGGCAAAUUUAGCAUUCACAUGUCAGACCUAGAAUAAUGCUAGAUGCUUAUCCCUCUCGUAUGGGAGCAGCCAGGAAGUCAGAAGAGGACCACAGACAGAGCGUUUGUUGGUGACAAGGGCUUUCAUAUCUUCAGAACUUGGCAAUAAGUAUUUUUAAAUAAUGGGAAGAAUGAAUUAUUUGAUUUCUGUGAAUUUAAAUUGCAAAAAUGAAAUAUGUGGGAGAAAACAGGUGCCUCCAUCUUUAACUGGAAUUGACAAAGCAGCAUUCACAAAGUGGCAACAAUUUCCUUUGACAUUUAUGAUUGCCCUAAUGCUGUUAAUCAGUGUGAGAUUAUUAUUUUUCCUUUCACAAAUGGAGAAACUGAGGUUCUGAGGGGUGAAGUGAGCUUACCCCAUUCCACAAAACUUGUAACUGCUGAUUCCCAGUUCUUUGUUCAUUUUAUUAGGCCAUGGAUGUUUCCUUAAAUAUAUUUCUCUGGGAAUAAAAUUCUCUUACAGAUCUUCUAGAAAUGGGGAUCUUGGCUUUCUGAAAUGAAAUUAUGUAUGGGCCAGAAGCCAGGAGAUGGAACGUGUGCUUUCUUACGUGUUUUCCUUCCAGCUUCCUUAGUCACGAUUCUUCAUUAUAACUUUGGUAUCUCUGAUAUUGAGUUAACUUUGACGAUGGUAUGGAUGAUGGUGGAUGGGUGGUACAUACAACUUUGAAGCACAUGAUGACUCUCUGGCCACCUACUUUAUUCUCGUAUUUCCCAAGAGGAGGUAAAUACUUCAUUUUAGAGAAACUGGACUCUAACCUAAAGUGGCCGAGAAGUCUAACCUGCAUUGUAAUCUUCAUCAAAUGAAAACACUUUGUUCUUAAAAGUACACUUGUUCCUUCUUCUUGCCCUUGACAAUUUUCUGUUUGAAGCAGCAAGGAACAGAGGAAAGAUAACAUAGUUUAUUCUAUGGAUUUCUACCAGUUCAAUUUUUAAAGUGUUAGCCUCUUAAAAUAAAUGUUUUCAUAAAAGAUCAUGAAGAAACUCGGAUUUUUGUCACUCCAUCAAUAUGUAGGAGGAGGGUAUGUCUGGGUAAGAGCCAAACAAUUAAGGUGUUACUGACCAGAAGUCUCUUGGUUUGCUGUCAUAAAAUGUCACAACUAUCAGCAACCACAAAAUCUUCAAUAAAUGGCACUGCAGACAGAAAUUUUUCUUAACAGUCUGGGUUUGUGAAUUCUCUUUUUUCCUUUCUGGUUUCCCUCUGUAGAUGUCUCUUUCUUCCUUUGUGCUUGGUCUCUCUGUUUCUCUUACUAACAACACACAUAUUUCUCCAUCUCUGUAUCAUCAUCUUCUAUUAGUUUUUCACAAGUGUAUUUCUGUGACUAAAAGGAUCAACAGAUGCUGACUUCAAUAUUGUGAAGCAUCCAGAAAAAGAACAAUUAAUUUAUAACAAACCUGCUUUGCUCUAACACUGACAGCUUUUGAAAAUGUAUACUGUAUGUGAGAUCCACAUCUCAUUUUGUUUUCAUUUAGAUGGUCAACAGCAUUUAACUCGAAGUUAGGUUUAAAUUCCCCCCAUGAGACUUGUCAGUUUUUGUCAGAAAUAAAACCAAUGAAUAUUUCCAUUUUAAAUAUUUAAAAGACCUUUUAAAUAAUGUGUUGAUAUUUUUGCUUGCAUUUUUGUUAUUAUCUUAACACUCUCUAUUGCUAUCUGCUUCAAUAUAGGAAAAAUGCAGUUACAAAUGUUUCCUGGUUAUAGUUAUUAAGAAUUAUCCCUAAUCUUAGGCUAGAUAUAUACAGAAGAUAAUCGUGUUCUAGAGUGUUCCUGCUGAAUAAAGUUGCCACUUAAUAAGAAACAGAUAUCAUGACUAGGUUGCCCUUGGAACUAACUGUCCAAGCGUGAACAAAUAUAUAUACUACAUCACACAUACACUCACAGUGCACAACACACUUAUACACUUCUCACAUACUCGCCUUUCUUUUACAACUUUCUGGCUCAGCAUGCCCAUGUCAUGAGCUAAUUCUGACCUAACAGAGAGGCUGUGCAGUCUUUCAGCUAGUGGAGGCUGAGAAAAUUGUGCAGCAAUAGGUCCAGUCCCUGGAAGAUGAAGUUAGUUAGCAUUUGGUGCCCAGCCAGCAGCAAUGUGACUUAGGCUUUUCGUCCUAGUAGGUAUGGAGUUCUGCUCUGAGCAACAAUUCAUUUAUUUUGUGCCAAUAUUCUGACUAGCUCAUUCUAGAAUCUUCUAUUUUGGUCAGAAUCUGUCCUAUAUUCUUGGCUGUGGUUCAAUUCUUUCAAUCAAAGAUCUGCCUAAUCCUGUUUUCCCAUAGCUAAUGUUGACAGGGUUCACCACGCCAUCUUCAUCUCCGCCCCCACUUCUCAUCUUCAGCCCAAACCAAUCUUCAUCUCUAUCUUCAUCUUUACUUCCAUCCACACAGCAAUCUUCAACUCCAUCUACCAAUACCAGUCUUAAGCUCCUGUGCCCCACCAUCCUCAGUCAUAGCAGUGCUCGAUGUGAUAACCUAAUCAAAAAUUUCAAACCAAACUGCCCAGCAUUCAUGGUUGUAAAGGACAUGUAGAAUCAGUCAACUGAUAGAUACAAAGUAACACUGAAACUGAUUGAGCAAUAAUCAGAAAGUUGGCGCUGCAAUAGCUUCCUCAGUUGUACCUCUCUGUCCACCGCCCAGCUCUUUCCUGUUGCUUCCAGUUCCUCUCACUUGUACUUCUUUAUUAACUAUUUGUUAACAUAACUUUCUAUGGUUUUCUUUCACCUAAGACCCAAACCUCUUCUCCUGGCUUGCAUUUCCACGACUCCCUGCCCAAGCCUGAGGUUGCACAAGAAACAUAUCUCUAAUUAAUGUCCCCUGUUCCAGGAAUUUGACUCAUUGGGCCUGCAAAAGAUUUUCGUGACAAAUGAAAUAUUUUUCUAAACCAAGGACUUGGGGAUAACUUCAGGGUCAAAGACAUCUUAUCAUAUUUAAGAACAGCCACAGGAUGUCUAGGAGCCAGCAGAGGGGCCAGAUAUGCUGCAGUUUAUGCUGUAAAAGGAAGCCUGCCGCCGUGAGUGGUCCAGUGGGAGCUCUUGCUUUGUGUCCUCAGCCUUUCACCUUUCCAUCUGAUGACUUGCUCUGAAUCUUCACUUCCUGGGCAGGUGAGCUGAGUCCUAGAAAGCACAGCUCACAGGAACUCUGCUUCAGAGUUGACAGAGAUUUAAUUUUCAGGACUAAAUUUCUCUGAGAGAAGGUUAGCAACACUCUGGCUUUGUCUUAAUAAGCUGUAGUUUGUGAUGCAAUUGCUGGAUAAGACAUGAACCAUAUUAGAACAGAAUGGCAAUAAAAAUCACCACAAAAUGAGAAGGAGAGUAACAAUUACAUUUUAUUAUGUGUGAAGUGCUCGGCACUUGUGUAUUUUACAUAUAUUUAAUCUUUAUAAUAACUAACAUAAUAAGUAUUUUGACUUCUUAUAGAUGAGGAAACAUGAUGUUCAGAAAGGUAUAUGACUUGAUCAAGAACCCACAACCAGGCAAUGAGAGGAAUAUGAGGCAAAAUCCAAUCUACUUGAUUCCACAGAGCUCUGAGUAUAGAUGAGGCAAACUUCACAUGGAAAAGAAGCCAUAUUUUGAAAAAACUACACGGAAUCAAAGAGAACUAACUCAAAGAAGCAAAAUUUUGGAGAUAAAACAAGGUAUCUGAUAGCAGUAGUGAUCUCAGGGUGGAUGACCCCCUACUGUUGCUCCUUCUUUUAAAUAAAACUCUUACUUGCAGGAGACAUACUGAAUGUAUUUGACCUUGGUGGCAGCUGGAAUUCAAAAAUCCUGGGUUGUGUUAGUUGACUAAGACAACAUUGUAGUACUGGUAGAGAAUUCUAAAAUCAGAAGAGCUUCAAUCUCUUCUAAUCUAAUUGACUAUGGAGAUUCAGGCAAGUUAUUCUGCCUCUGAGCCAGAUUUAAUUUCCUUAUCUAUAAUGUAAGGAGAAAAUCAAUAACUUUAAUAUUCUCUGAUUCAAAAUGUAAGCAAACAGAGGAAGGUGAUUGGCAACUUAGUUAAUUGGCAGGGUUAUUGGUAAAGAGUGAACACUGGGCAUUAUCCUUAAAGGUUAUGACAUUUGGAUAACCAUCUUGCAUCUUGGUCCAGUAGGCCAGCUACAGUAAUUGCUGUGGGUUAUGCUGAGUCUAGGACUGGAUUCCAAUUAAGCUGUGAUUUUUCACCAGUGCUAACUGUGGAAGGGCAGAUCCAUACAGAGCAUUCCUCAGCUAGGUAGUUUGAAUUAUUCCUAGACAGAUGCCUCCCAUUGAAGAGCACCUGGCAUUUUUACUAAGAGGAGAUCUAGCCAUUCUAGCAACUCUGAUUCACUCUCCUUUUGUUCAUCAUCUAUAUUUCUCCAUGGCUAUCCUUCCAAAGAGAAGCUAUUGCUAUAGUACACCUAACCAGAACAACUUUACCUCAAGGACACAGCUUUAUUAUCUGCUGAGGACCCUGAUCUAAUACUGUCAGGGUAGAGCCUGGUGUUCUGGGGAAAAUUUCAGGUUAUUAAAGCCAGUCCUAAUGGUUGGCUUAGAUAUGGCCUCUGUCUUGAUUUCCCUGCAUAGAACUUCUAUCUUUUAUUAAUUUGGUGCCAGUUGUAUAUUUUAAAGGGAGAGCUGUGGGUCUUGAUUUAAACCUGUAUAUACAUACAAGUACCUUGUUUUGUUAAACUACAUUGUCUUGCUCUUGUCAGUUUUAUCCUUAGAGGUCUGGACGUGCCCCAUCUCUGUACUUGAUUCUGCUGAGAAUACAGAGGUUGACAGUACCAUCAUGGCACACUACUCUGUGUGCACUGACCUAGGGCCUGGCACGCCUCAUAUAGAUACCUCCUAUCCCCUUUGUGCCUGCAUUUGUCUCAACCACAGGCCACAGUAGCUAACAUUCUCAGCUUUUGACCCACUAAUUUUUGGCUUUUGCCCAUCCCCAUUGACUCCCAUGUAGACCCUAUGUUCACCAGAAGGAUCCUCAUGUCUGCAGACUACAUUAAGAGGGAGGAUAUGCCUCUGUGAAUCCAACUGAUAGGUAUCUCCUGUGUGCCAGGGAAUGGCAGGGCCAUGGCUCUCUCAAAGCCAUGCUCAUAAAAAGCCUCCUCUGCAUCGACUUCCAGUCCCAUUUGAUUCUCAAGCAAGGAGUUCCAUCCGAGAAGGAAGCUGUCACCUGUCACUCUUUUAUGAAUUCUUAAGGACAGUGGAAGAGUUGAAAGGUUGGCAAUCACAAUGACAAUAGGCUAUUACAAGCAGGUGAAGAGCCUUCUUCUUUUGCUCCUUACCCCCAACUGCUGUUCAAAUAAUCAAAAAAGGGUCCUCAUUGAAACUGAUUUAAUUCUCAAGAGGAAUGAAAGACAUUUAAAGGGCAAGCCAACUUCAUAAAUGACAUUAAAAGGUUUUAAAAUAGUGUUUUGCUUCUAAAGGGUGUUUGUAAAUGUCAGAGGUAACAUAUUGAUUACAGUCCUGGCAGUUCUUGCUCAGGGCUUCUUAGCUGUCUUUGGCUUAACUCAUGCUGUUGACUUAUGCUCAUGGUAUGAAAUAUCUCAGCCAUCUUACUUUGUUUGCUUAAACUUUUCCAACCUACCAGACUUUAUCCACAUGUGAAUAAAAGGUACCAUCAAAUUAGUGGUGUUUAUAAUUUUUGUGCUUUUUAAUGUCUCGUGAAUUAUAUAAAGUUACGAAAAUGGCUAUAGGAAUUGGCCUACAAACUCUUGAGAUGUCCUAUAAGUUCCUACAAGAUAUUGAAAGUUGGUUGCUUUGAGGAUAUAAUUCUGAAUGUUGAAGCAAAUUAAAAAGCCAACUUGGAAGGGGAUACAUAAUCCUCUUUAAGUCAAGAUGAGGGGUAUAACCUCCCCCAUAUAUUCUGGGCCCAGUCGUCUGUGUUGAAAAGAACUCUGAUAGUUUAUUUGCUGAUACUAUUAAUGGGAGCCAAAAACAUUGUGGAGAAAGGUGAUAUUGUCAUCGUGAAUCUCUCUGAACUCCUGUUCCCAAUUUGUAGCCAGUAAGAGAGCAUGAUUGCUCUGACUACAGGAUUAUACUAAGUCUCUAAGGAAAUGAGAAUAGUGCACAUGUGUACUCUGAUUUAUAGUUUGCAAAGGCCAUUCAAUAAUUGGUAAAGCCGAAACCAAUGAAUUUCCUUCUGAUUUUCAGCACCAUUCAGAAUCUGGACAUAUAAUAUGUUUAUGGCAUUUAACCUAGUCAGACAGUAGAUAUUGCUCUAAGUCAUGGCCUACACCUGUGAGCCUACUUAUAUCAGCAUUUGCCAAAUGUACUUGUAGCUGUGGUACUGACCUCAGAGAACUUAGCCAAAGAGCAAAGACUGCCUAAUUCAAGAAGUACUGGCUGUACAGGAAGCAUAAUGCCAGCAUCUGUUUCUGGUGAGGCCUCAGGAAGCUUUUACUUAUGGUGGAAGGUGAAGGAGGAACAGGUGUCUCACAGGGCAAGAGGAGCAAGAGGGAGCAGGUGGGGAUUGGUGCCACACACUUGUAAACAUCCACAUUUUGUGAGAACUCACUAUCUCAAAAACAGCACCAAGCCAUGAGGAAUCCCUUCCUAUGACCCAAACACCUCCCAUCAGGCCCCACCUCUAAGAUUGAGGAUUAUAUUUCAACAUGAGAUUUGAGCACGGACAAAUAUACAAACUAUAUCAGUACAUAUAAAUGUACUUCCUAUUUUAAUGACAUUACAUGGAUGUGACAUAAUUCUUCAAUCAUAUCCUUGUCAAGGUACAUUUAGAUUUUUUAAAGUUCUCUUUUGUUUCUUUGUUACUAAAAACAGUUCUGUAAAUACCCUUAAACACAAAAUUUAUAUGAUUUUGCAAUUUGGGUAAAAGCCUUACUUUCUUUUGCCCUAAUUUUUUAUUAAGACAUUUCCAAACCUACAGUAAAGUUGAAAAAAAGCAUCAAGAAUGCUCAGAUUACCAAAACAGAUAUAUAGACCAAUGGAAAAGAACAGAGCCCUCAGAAAUAAUACUACACAUCUACAACCAUCCGAUCUUUGACAAACCUGACAAAAACAAGAAAUGGGGAAAGGAGUCCCUAUUUAAUAAACGGUGCUGGGAAAACUGGCUAGCCAUAUGUAGAAAGCUGAAACUGGAUCCCUUCCUUACACCUUGUACAAAAAUUAAUUCAAGAUGGAUUAAAGACUUACAUGUUAGACUUAAAACCAUAAAAAACCCUAGAAGAAAACCUAGGCAAUACCAUUCAGGACAUAGGCAUGGGCAAGGACUUCAUGUCUAAAACACCAAAAGCAAUGGCAACAAAAGACAAAAUUGACAAAUGGGAUCUAAUUAAACUAAAGAGCUUCUGCACAGCAAAACAAACUACCAUCAGGGUGAACAGGCAACCUACAGAAUGGGAGAAAAUUUUUGCAAUCUACUCAUCUGACACAGGGCUAAGAUCCAGAAUCUACAAAGAACUCAGACAAAUUUACAAGAAAAAAACAAACAACCCCAUCAAAAAGUGGGCGAAGGAUAUGAACAGACACUUCUCAAAAGAAGACAUUUAUGCAGCCAAAAGACACAUGAAAAAAUGCUCAUCAUCACUGGCCAUCAGAGAAAUGGAAAUCAAAACCACAAUGAGAUACCAUCUCACACCAGUUAGAAUGGCAAUCAUUAAAAAGUCAGGAAACAACAGGUGCUGGAGAGGAUGUGGAGAAAUAGGAACACUUUUACACUGUUGGUGGGACUGUAAACUAGUUCAACCAUUGUGGAAGACAGUGUGGCAAUUCCUCAGGGAUCUAGAACUAGAAAUACCAUUUGACCCAGCCAUCCUAUUACUGGGUAUAUACCCAAAGGAUUAUAAAUCAUGCUGCUAUAAAGACACAUGCACACAUAUGUAUAUUUUGGCACUAUUCACAAUAGCAAAGACUUGGAACCAACCCAAAUGUCCAUCAAUGAUAGACUGGAUUAAGAAAAUGUGGUACAUAUACAUCAUGGAAUACUAUGCAGCCAUAAAAAAGGAUGAGUUCAUGUCCUUUGUAGGGACAUGGAUGAAGCUGGAAACCAUCAUUCUCAGCAAACUAUGGCAAGGACAAAAAACCAAACACCACAUGUUCUCACCCAUAGGUGGGAAUUGAACAAUGAGAACACUUGGACACAAGAAGGAGAACAUCACACACCGGGGUCUGUUGAGGGGUAGGGGAACGGGGGAGGGAUAGCAUUAGGAGAUAUACCUAAUGUAAAUGAUGAGUUAAUGGGUGCAGUGCACCAAUGUGGCACAUGUAUACAUAUGUAACAAACCUGCACGUUGUGCACAUGUACCCUAGAAAUUAAAGUAUAAUAAAAAAAAAUGCUCAGAUUUCCUUUACCUAGAGUCACUAAUGGUGAUUCAUCCUUUACCACUUUUACUUGCACUCUCUCCUCUUUCUCUGCAUAUAUAUUGAUAUUUUUAUAUAUUGCAGAAUCAUUUGAAUGUAAAUUGAAGAUAUAAUGACAUAUCAUUCCUAAAUAAUUCAGCAUGUAUCACCUAGUAACUAGGCCACUUUCCUACAUAGCUAUAAUACCAUUGGCACAUGCAGGAAAUAAAAUUCACCCAAUAAUGUUAUCUAGUAUACUCAAGCUUUCUCAUAUUUUUUCAAAAACAUUUUUAUAGAUGUUAUAACUGUUGUGAAUAUCAGAUCCAGGCAAAUGCCAUUCACUGCAUUUUGUUGUUAAGUCUUUAAUUCUAUCUCCUUCAAUCUAGCACAGUUAUCUUGGCAUUUCAUGUUGUUGCUGUUGUGACAUUGACUUGUUUGAAAUAUUUGGGUCAUUAUUUUACAGAGUACCCCACAUCUGGACUUGUCUUUUUGUCCCCUCAUGAUUAGAUUCAGGUUAAAGAUUUGUUGCAAAAAAAUAUUGCACAGAUAAUGUUGUGUACUUCCCAUUGCAUCCCAUCAGAAAGCAAUGAGAUUUCAGUUUGUUGGAUAAUGGGUGAUGCUCAGACAAUCACUUAGUUAAGGUUGUCUCUCUCCAGAUCUCUCCAUAGGAGUUUCUAAUUAUGCAUUAUAUUAACAUGUUUAUUUUUAAUAAGUAAUGUAUGGUUACUUUGAAGUUGUAUGACUGUUCUAUUCCCCAACAUUUACCCAGCUUUUUGUUCUUCUAUUGAUGAACACUGCAUGAAUUAAUGAUCAGAUUCCAAUAUUAAAAUGGUGAUUUUGUAAUUCUACCAUUUUUUCAUUGGGUACCACUCAUAGAUUUCCCUCCCCUAUCCCAGUAUAUUGUAAUCCAUCACUGUGCUCAAAGUGUACUAAUUUUGCUGGUGGAGGCACUGUCUUUUGUCUGUAUCCUAUGCUCUGAUACUUUUUUCUUGCUUUCUAGAGAAGAUGUUCCAGGAUUACUUCAUGCUGUCCAGGUCCUAGACAUGGAAUCGUUUGCUUCUUCAAAAGUCUGGAUCCCUUUAAGAUACGAAAUGUAUUUAGAAACCAAAGUAUGGAUGCUAGGUGUGCUCAUGGCCAUUGGAGUGUGUUUCUAGACCCAGGAAUAAGCAAACAAUGGCCUGUAAACUAUAUCCUGUCUGUGGCCUGUUUUUGUACAUCCUAAGAACUAAAAAUUAUUUUAAAAAUUGUAAAUGGGAAAAAGUCAACAACAACAAACAAAUCAACAAAUAACCCCACAAAUAAACAGUUUCUUAAAGACCA
Long non-coding RNA from Homo sapiens (human), 10272 nucleotides. RefSeq lists it as uncharacterized. Lineage: Eukaryota; Metazoa; Chordata; Mammalia; Primates; Hominidae. The record is from RefSeq and is a predicted model, not a curated record. The transcript is spliced from 4 exons.